AGAGUUUGAUCCUGGCUCAGAUUGAACGCUGGCGGCAUGCUUUACACAUGCAAGUCGAACGGUAACAGGUUAAGCUGACGAGUGGCGAACGGGUGAGUAAUGCAUCGGAACGUGCCCGGUCGUGGGGGAUAACGCAGCGAAAGCUGCGCUAAUACCGCAUACGAUCUGAGGAUGAAAGCGGGGGACCGUAAGGCCUCGCGCGAUCGGAGCGGCCGAUGUCAGAUUAGGUAGUUGGUGGGGUAAAGGCUCACCAGGCCGACGAUCUGUAGCUGGUCUGAGAGGACGACCAGCCACACUGGGACUGAGACACGGCCCAGACUCCUACGGGAGGCAGCAGUGGGGAAUUUUGGACAAUGGGCGCAAGCCUGAUCCAGCAAUGCCGCGUGCAGGAAGAAGGCCUUCGGGUUGUAAACUGCUUUUGUACGGAGCGAAAAGGCUCUCUCUAAUACAGGGGGCUCAUGACGGUACCGUAAGAAUAAGCACCGGCUAACUACGUGCCAGCAGCCGCGGUAAUACGUAGGGUGCAAGCGUUAAUCGGAAUUACUGGGCGUAAAGCGUGCGCAGGCGGUUUUGUAAGACAGGCGUGAAAUCCCCGGGC
RNAcentral lists this ribosomal RNA (598 nucleotides) under uncultured bacterium. RNAcentral's name for it is "bacterial SSU rRNA". It matches the Rfam family "Bacterial small subunit ribosomal RNA", at positions 8 to 608 of the family's 1533-position model. The record is from RNAcentral.